UCAUAAAUGAUUGUGCCAAGGUACCAGUCCCAAUUGAGUUGACGAAAAUUAGUAAAGAUGUCAUUUUUCCCAUUUCGAAACAUAAACACGCCGACGAUGGUAAGUGGACAGAUCCUCAAGGGGAUGUAAGACUCUUCCAUCACCACCAAAAGAUGAAGCCUCCUCCCACCAGAAGGAACGAUUUAUGUCCUUUAGAAGCUUGAAUCUGGCGCGAGCAACCAGCGAUUUUCAUGAUAGUUAAUGGCUCAGUCGUCCUUCUGGAGUAGCACCAACAACUGGAGCAGUAUUGCUUAGCCCAUCCUACGGAAAACCAGCAAUCAAUCCGAACAGGACUUUCAUAAAAGUACCAUUUUUUUACAACAACGUUCGUGAAGAGAGGAUCAGAAAUAAAUUGAAAAAAGAAAAAAAAAUCAAAUCAAGAAACGAAAAGCUCAAAACAUGCUGAAGUGAACUAAUUCAAAAUAGAAUUUGUUUUAUUUGAUAAUCAACGGAGAUAUUAUUGAGUCCUUAAUUACGAAUGUUCAGAAAGAAGUUAUGUGUUGCACAACAUUCGUGAUCAAUAGUCCUUGGUUCGUCGCAGUGCUAUCAAUGAUGGGCUGAGUGUGUAUAAUGAAGUUGAUGUUAACAACACUGCGCUUAGGGCCGCCCUGGCUAUUGGGAAUGGCCGAACAUUACUCGUUGCCGAAAGGACAGCCACGGAUAAAAUUAGUUAUGCCGCAGCUACCGAAAAAUCAACAAUGGAUGACCCCUGAUCAAUCCUUUUUUUGUUUUUGCAGCAUUGCAACGAACAAAGAAAACAUCUGAAUCGUGCUUCGCAAUCGAAGUGUCAAUAUAAUUUAAGAUGGAGGUGAGAGAUUCCAAUUUUAAUGAAUUAAAGUUGAAACAAUUGAUAAUAAUAAAUAUUUCAAAAGAUUUAAAAAA
Uranotaenia lowii is the source of this 921-nucleotide long non-coding RNA. RefSeq lists it as uncharacterized. The transcript has 3 exons. The record is from RefSeq and is a predicted model, not a curated record. Lineage: Eukaryota; Metazoa; Arthropoda; Insecta; Diptera; Culicidae.